GAACGCACAUUGCGCCCGCCAGUAUUCUGGCGGGCAUGCCUGUUCGAGCGUCAUUUCAACCCUCAGGCCCCCAGUGCCUGGCGUUGGGGAUCGGCACAACCCCUCUCCCUCCGGGGGGAGCGGGCGCCGGCCCCGAAAUCUAGUGGCGGUCUCGCUGUAGUCCUCCUCUGCGUAGUAGCACAACCUCGCAGUUGGAACUCGGCGGUGGCCAUGCCGUUAAACACCCCACUUCUGAAAGUUGACCUCGGAUCAGGUAGGAAUACCCGCUGAACUUAAG
Molecule: unclassified non-coding RNA, 277 nt
Filed under: uncultured fungus
Lineage: Eukaryota; Fungi
Description: sequence contains 5.8S rRNA gene
Rfam family: 5.8S ribosomal RNA (bases 1-53)
Source: RNAcentral